Long non-coding RNA from Rhagoletis zephyria (snowberry fruit fly), 934 nucleotides. RefSeq lists it as uncharacterized. The record is from RefSeq and is a predicted model, not a curated record. Lineage: Eukaryota; Metazoa; Arthropoda; Insecta; Diptera; Tephritidae.
AAAUAAAUAAAAAAUAAAAAAAAAUUUAAAAAACAUAAAGCCCAAAAACAAGCAUGAGUUCGAUUUGUUCUGUAGUUGGUAUCGUUCAUUAAUACGAGUAUAUAGUAAAAAUGCAUGUUAGUUAAAAAACGGUAAAAUUGGUAAAAAUGUAUGGUAUUAAUAGUUUUUAUUGGUUUCAAGAAUAUUAGAAUUUGCAUGAGUUUUAAUUAGUGUUAUCUUAAAACAAUUAAUAAUCGCACGACUAUUUUUAUAGUGUUAUUGAUUACCUAGCAUUAAUAUAGUAUUAUUAUUAAUAGCAUGUAGGUAUUUGUAUUGUAGAUGCAUGUAACUAUGGACAGGAUCCAAGUUUUUCAAAACCGUUGACAUACGAUUCAAUUAUGUACUUAGGUGGAUUGAUCGUGUUUUGAAAAACUGGUGAAAAUUUGAUGGAUUUUUUCUUUUUAUCGAUUCAGGCAUAUUUUUAUAAGAUUUAUUUUUUAAGUCGCUUUAAUAUCAUUUACAAGAAAUGUAUUCCUUAUAUGUGUGUGAUAUAUGAGUGAAUAAAAGCAUACCUACAUAUUAAUAAAACAUAUUAAUAAAAAUAAGUUUUUUAUUUUGGAUAAAAUCUUGAUAGGUUUUUCAGGUAAUUUUUGCUUAUUCGUACAAGCAAAAACCACAUGUACGCACAUAUAUUCUUUUGUACAUAGAUGUAGAUAUGUCAACGAAAAAGUAAAAAUUUUUGAAUUCAUACUGGCAAUUUGAAUCAUACAUGUAGCUUGUAAGAUGCGCGACAUUGAAGAUGUGCUGUGGCAUAGUUGGUAUAGGCGAAGCAAUUAUGAUGAUGCUUUGCCGAUACGAUCACAGUUCAACACCGAACCGAUGCUGUGGUUUUUUAUGUAUUUAUAAAAAAUGAAAUAAAUAAUUUGGUGGUUGAACUUGAACCAAAUUGGAUUUU